UACGACUUCCCUGUGCAUUUGUCACUGUGCAUUCUGUUUUCAGUGUGCUGUCAUGCCAGUGCUGUUAACUUUGCAUCUUUUCAUAACUUCCAGAUAUGGGAGAUAAAUGCAAUGCAUACUUCAUUCAAGUAGUCUUGGCAGGGAGAUGCUAUGAGCUGCAUCGCUGAACAAGUUACUUCUCUAUUACUUCAUGGCUUAUUCUUCUCCUCUACCUCCAUUCUGAUUCCAGACUUUGUCUUCGGUAAGCAAGCAGGAUUCUUACAUAUUGUGUGAGAGUGAGACUAAAGCAUGCUUGCAGUUGACUAGCAAUAUUAUAGCCUCUACAGGAAUCUGGCUUUCUGUUAAGGAACUGAAAAGAAUGGUGAAAUUUAGGAUCUGGGUUCUUAUCGUUAGAUCUUUGGACAUUAAAGAGUCCAUUUGAAAUUAACAUAUUGUUGGUUGAGAUAGUGUUUAAAGAAAAUGGUAGUUGAAGUUGUAACAUUAAUAUAUUCUGAAUGAGGAAUGAAGCUUUAGUCAUUUGGACUAAAUUUCCAUA
This is a long non-coding RNA of Glycine soja, 535 nucleotides long. RefSeq lists it as uncharacterized. Lineage: Eukaryota; Viridiplantae; Streptophyta; Magnoliopsida; Fabales; Fabaceae. The record is from RefSeq and is a predicted model, not a curated record. The transcript is spliced from 2 exons.